UGGGGAAUAUUGCACAAUGGGCGCAAGCCUGAUGCAGCCAUGCCGCGUGUAUGAAGAAGGCCUUCGGGUUGUAAAGUACUUUCAGCGGGGAGGAAGGGAGUAAAGUUAAUACCUUUGCUCAUUGACGUUACCCGCAGAAGAAGCACCGGCUAACUCCGUGCCAGCAGCCGCGGUAAUACGGAGGGUGCAAGCAUUAAUCGGAAUUACUGGGCGUAAAGCGCACGCAGGCGGUUUGUUAAGUCAGAUGUGAAAUCCCCGGGCUCAACCUGGGAACUGCAUCUGAUACUGGCAAGCUUGAGUCUCGUAGAGGGGGGUAGAAUUCCAGGUGUAGCGGUGAAAGGCGUAGAGAUCUGGAGGAAUACCGGUGGCGAAGGCGGCCCCCUGGACGAAGACUGACGCUCAGGUGCGAAAGCGUGGGGAGCAAACAGG
This 429-nucleotide ribosomal RNA is filed under the name Chloroflexota bacterium. RNAcentral describes it as "Chloroflexi bacterium partial 16S ribosomal RNA". It matches the Rfam family "Bacterial small subunit ribosomal RNA", at positions 355 to 776 of the family's 1533-position model. Lineage: Bacteria; Bacillati; Chloroflexota. The record is from RNAcentral.